GGUCCCAUAACUCAGUUGGUUAGAGUGUCGUACUAAUAUUACAAGUAAAUUGUAACAUAUGUAAUGCGAAAGUCGUGAGUUCAAGCCUCACUGGGACCA
RNAcentral lists this transfer RNA (99 nucleotides) under Xylaria telfairii. RNAcentral's name for it is "tRNA-Ile". It matches the Rfam family "tRNA". From Rfam's summary of the family: Transfer RNA (tRNA) molecules are approximately 80 nucleotides in length. Their secondary structure includes four short double-helical elements and three loops (D, anti-codon, and T loops). The record is from RNAcentral. Lineage: Eukaryota; Fungi; Ascomycota; Sordariomycetes; Xylariales; Xylariaceae.